UACAGAGGGUGCAAGCGUUAAUCGGAAUUACUGGGCGUAAAGCGCGCGUAGGCGGUUUUUUAAGUUGGAUGUGAAAUCCCCGGGCUUAACCUGGGCACUGCAUUCAAGACUGGGAGACUUGAGUUUGGGAGAGGGUGGUGGAAUUUCCGGUGUAGCGGUGAAAUGCGUAGAUAUCGGAAGGAACAUCAGUGGCGAAGGCGACUGCCUGGCCCAAAACUGACGCUGAGGUGCGAAAGCGUGGGGAGCAAACAGG
Molecule: ribosomal RNA, 253 nt
Filed under: uncultured bacterium
Lineage: Bacteria
Description: partial 16S ribosomal RNA
Rfam family: Bacterial small subunit ribosomal RNA
Source: RNAcentral